ACCGAUAGAAGCGCUAGUGGGAAAGCGUAAUAAGAUUUGAUCCAUUCACGAAUACCUGCUGGAAGUGUAUUGCUACAUAUUACUCUUAUGAAAUAUAACGAAGAAAUGAUUAAGAUUUACAGAAGAAUUUUGUCUGUACGUACACGCACACGUAAGAAACACAUUAUUAAUUCCAAUUUUGGGGAAAAACGGUGUCACUGUCCCGUGAUUGCACUUUAUAUCGUUCAGGGUUAACGAAUCAAUAAACAAUGAAAAGAAGCUGUGUGACCCAAUGAAGUACUGCUACGUCACAGAGGUGCUUAAGGCCCGCUCGGCUCUUCCUCAAAAUUGUGUCUUUCCAAUCCGCGGCUAACAUAAUACGCAUAGAGGUAUCAUCCACUGCGUUUGAUAUCUACCGGAGAUCAUGCGUUCCUGUUCAUGAAUCGGUUAAAUUGUUGAUUAUGUCCAUUCUACCUACUAACUACAGAUUUACUGGAGGAUUAUAAGUAUGAAUGUAAAUAAUUUAAUAUUCAUACAACUCUACAUACAUGUGUAACUAAUGUCCCAUACGAUAAGUACUUGCGUGACAAAUGAACUCGAGCUGGUCUCAUGGAGCGAUCGCCACUGCACAUAAUCAUAGAGCAGUAAACUAUUGCUAUCAAUAGCAAAAAUAACUUAUCAACUUUUACACAAUUAGUUUGUACAACAAUAAAUGUAGUUAUGUAUAAAGAUA
Long non-coding RNA from Bombus terrestris (buff-tailed bumblebee), 712 nucleotides. RefSeq lists it as uncharacterized. NCBI's taxonomy places the organism in Eukaryota, Metazoa, Arthropoda, Insecta, Hymenoptera, Apidae. The transcript has 3 exons. The record is from RefSeq and is a predicted model, not a curated record.